GACGAACGCUGGCGGCGUGCUUAACACAUGCAAGUCGAACGGAAAGGCCCUGCUUUUGUGGGGUGCUCGAGUGGCGAACGGGUGAGUAACACGUGAGUAACCUGCCCUUGACUUUGGGAUAACUUCAGGAAACUGGGGCUAAUACCGGAUAGGAGCUCCUGCUGCAUGGUGGGGGUUGGAAAGUUUCGGCGGUUGGGGAUGGACUCGCGGCUUAUCAGCUUGUUGGUGGGGUAGUGGCUUACCAAGGCUUUGACGGGUAGCCGGCCUGAGAGGGUGACCGGCCACAUUGGGACUGAGAUACGGCCCAGACUCCUACGGGAGGCAGCAGUGGGGAAUAUUGCACAAUGGGCGGAAGCCUGAUGCAGCAACGCCGCGUGCGGGAUGACGGCCUUCGGGUUGUAAACCGCUUUCGCCUGUGACGAAGCGUGAGUGACGGUAAUGGGUAAAGAAGCACCGGCUAACUACGUGCCAGCAGCCGCGGUGAUACGUAGGGUGCGAGCGUUGUCCGGAUUUAUUGGGCGUAAAGGGCUCGUGGGUGGUUGAUCGCGUCGGAAGUGUAAUCUUGGGGCUUAACCCUGAGCGUGCUUUCGAUACGGGUUGACUUGAGGAAGGUAGGGGAGAAUGGAAUUCCUGGUGGAGCGGUGGAAUGCGCAGAUAUCAGGAGGAACACCAGUGGCGAAGGCGGUUCUCUGGGCCUUUCCUGACGCUGAGGAGCGAAAGCGUGGGGAGCGAACAGGCUUAGAUACCCUGGUAGUCCACGCUGUAAACGGUGGGUACUAGGUGUGGGGUCCAUUCCACGGGUUCCGCGCCGUAGCUAACGCUUUAAGUACCCCGCCUGGGGAGUACGGCCGCAAGGCUAAAACUCAAAGGAAUUGACGGGGCCCCGCACAAGCGGCGGAGCAUGCGGAUUAAUUCGAUGCAACGCGUAGAACCUUACCUGGGUUUGACAUGGAUCGGGAGUGCUCAGAGAUGGGUGUGCCUCUUUUGGGGUCGGUUCACAGGUGGUGCAUGGCUGUCGUCAGCUCGUGUCGUGAGAUGUUGGGUUAAGUCCCGCAACGAGCGCAACCCUUAAGCUUAGUUGCCAUCAUUAAGUUGGGCACUCUAAGUUGACUGCCGGUGACAAACCGGAGGAAGGUGGGGAUGACGUCAAAUCAUCAUGCCCCUUAUGAUUUGGGCUACACACGUGCUACAAUGGACAAUACAAAGGGCAGCGAAACCGCGAGGUCAAGCAAAUCCCAUAAAGUUGUUCUCAGCUCGGAUUGUAGUCUGCAACUCGACUAUAUGAAGCUGGAAUCGCUAGUAAUCGUAGAUCAGCAACGCUGCGGUGAAUACGUUCCCGGGGCU
RNAcentral lists this ribosomal RNA (1344 nucleotides) under uncultured bacterium. Its description in RNAcentral is "bacterial SSU rRNA". It matches the Rfam family "Bacterial small subunit ribosomal RNA", at positions 28 to 1381 of the family's 1533-position model. The record is from RNAcentral.